This 610-nucleotide ribosomal RNA is filed under the name Apiotrichum scarabaeorum. Its description in RNAcentral is "partial large subunit ribosomal RNA". It matches the Rfam family "Eukaryotic large subunit ribosomal RNA", at positions 52 to 652 of the family's 3401-position model. Lineage: Eukaryota; Fungi; Basidiomycota; Tremellomycetes; Trichosporonales; Trichosporonaceae. The record is from RNAcentral.
UGAGGAAAAGAAACUAACAAGGAUUCCCUUAGUAACGGCGAGUGAACCGGGAAAAGCUCAAAUUUGAAAUCUGGCUGUCUUCGAUAGUCCGAGUUGUAAUCUAUAGAAGUGUUUUCCGUGCUGAACUGUGUCUAAGUCCCUUGGAACAGGGUAUCAAAGAGGGUGACAAUCCCGUACUUGACACAAUCAUCAGUGCUCUGUGAUACACUCUCUACGAGUCGAGUUGUUUGGGAAUGCAGCUCAAAAUGGGUGGUAAAUUCCAUCUAAAGCUAAAUAUUGGCGAGAGACCGAUAGCGAACAAGUACCGUGAGGGAAAGAUGAAAAGCACUUUGGAAAGAGAGUUAAACAGUACGUGAAAUUGUUGAAAGGGAAACGAUUGAAGUCAGUCGUGUUCAUUGGAUUCAGCUAGUUCUUCUAGUCUACUUCCUUUGAACGGGUCAACAUCAGUUUUGUCCGGUGGAUAAAGGCAGUAGGAAUGUGGCUUCUUCGGAAGUGUUAUAGCCUAUUGUCACAUACACUGGAGGAGACUGAGGACUGCAGCUCGCCUUUUGGCCGGGGUUCGCCCACGUUCGAGCUUAGGAUGUUGACAUAAUGGCUUUAAACGACCCGU